UGGGCACUGGGAGAUACUGCAGAAUCCUCUAUCUCAACAUCAACAAGAAAGCACCUUGGCUGAUGGUGAGAGGCAAAUAGCAGGGACAUAGAAUUUUCUGUUUGUGACAUUCUUCACAGACCUGUCUGGAUAACUGAUGCCAUCUGUGGCAAUGCCUCUUCCAUCUGUCUGCCUGCCAAUGUCUGAAUCAAUUGGUUUGGCUGUGUCUGUCAUGGCUAUGGUGGCUACUGAUGCAACUCUGGAGGACAUUACUUAAAGGGUGCCACAAGAAGGGUGGCGGCAGAUGUUGGUGAUACAAGAUCUACUGAAGAACCUCUAAAUCACUCAGCCUAUUGGAUUCAUCUUCCUGUGAAGUGCUAGUUCCUUCCCCAUGUUCAUCAACUCAUCAACGGUAUCAAAAGAUAAACAGCCAAUCUAGAUUCACAGUUGACUUGCUUUAGAACCAACUAUAUAGACUAUGGAUUA
Suricata suricatta (meerkat) is the source of this 465-nucleotide long non-coding RNA. RefSeq lists it as uncharacterized. NCBI's taxonomy places the organism in Eukaryota, Metazoa, Chordata, Mammalia, Carnivora, Herpestidae. The transcript has 3 exons. The record is from RefSeq and is a predicted model, not a curated record.